RNAcentral lists this ribosomal RNA (1660 nucleotides) under metagenome. Its description in RNAcentral is "bacterial LSU rRNA". It matches the Rfam family "Bacterial large subunit ribosomal RNA", at positions 1227 to 2910 of the family's 2925-position model. The record is from RNAcentral.
CAUAGGGGAGCAUACUCACAGCGUUGAAUGGUGUACGUAAGUUAUCCUGGAGCGGUGAGUAAAGCAAAUGUAGGAAUAAGUAACGAUAAGGAGGGUUAGAUUCCCUCCCGCUGUAAGACCAAGGUCUCCCGGGCAAUGCCAAUCAGCCCGGGGUCAGUCGGGUCCUAAGUCUAAGCCGAACGGCGAUGGCGAUGGCAGAGACGGUUAAUAUUCCGUCACUGCCGCAUGGGGCGACGUGGAGACGGAGCAGUGAAACCACCGCGGGGCGACGGAAGUCCCCGUUGAAGAGUGUAGGCGUUGAGGAUGGCAGGCAAAUCCACCGUCCGAGCUGAACUUGAGAGUAUGGAGUCUUCUUCGGAAGAAUCCAAUAGUGUGGGUAAUCAUACUCCCGAGAAAAUCCGCUAAGCUUAACCCAUGCGGCACCCGUACCGCAAACGGACACACGUGGUCGGGUAGAACAUACUGAGGCGUUGAGAGAUUCAUGGUUAAGGAACUAGGCAAAUUGACCCUGUAACUUCGGGAUAAAGGGUCCUCGUGAAUAGCGAGGCGCAGAGAAUAGGUCCAGGCAACUGUUUAACAAAAACACAGGGCUGUGCAAACUCGAAAGAUGACGUAUACAGCCUGACACCUGCCCGGUGCCGGAAGGUUAAGAGGAGAUGUCACUCGCAAGAGGAAGCAUUGAAUUGAAGCCCCGGUAAACGGCGGCCGUAACAAUAACGGUCCUAAGGUAGCGAAAUUCCUUGUCGGGUAAGUUCCGACCUGCACGAAUGGUGUAAUGAUCGGGACGCUGUCUCAACCAUGAGCUCAGUGAAAUUGUAGUAUCGGUGAAGAUGCCGAUUACCCGCGAUGGGACGAAAAGACCCCGUGAACCUUUACUACAGCUUAGCAUUGACCUUGGUCAUCCGAUGUGUAGGAUAGGCCGGAGGCUUCGAAGCGGGAGCGCCAGCUUUCGUGGAGCCAUCCUUGAAAUACGGCCCUUUGGCUGUCUGAGGUCUAACGCGCGAUGCGCGGACACUGCUUGGUGGGUAGUUUGACUGGGGUGGUCGCCUCCAAAAGCGUAACGGUGGCUUCCAAAGGUGCCCUCGGGUCGAUUGGUAACCGACCUCAAAGAGUGCAAUGGCAUAAGGGCGCUUGACUGGGAGGCAGACAUGCCGAGCAGGCAGGAAACUGGGGCAUAGUGAUCCGGCGGAUGUGUAUGGAAGCUCCGUCGCUCAAAGGAUAAAAGGUACUCCGGGGAUAACAGGCUGAUCCCCCCCAAGAGCUCAUAUCGACGGGGUGGUUUGGCACCUCGAUGUCGGCUCGUCACAUCCUGGGGCUGGAGAAGGUCCCAAGGGUUGGGCUGUUCGCCCAUUAAAGUGGCACGCGAGCUGGGUUCAGAACGUCGUGAGACAGUUCGGUCUCUAUCUAUCGUGGGCGUGGGAGUUUUGCGUGGUGCCGUCACUAGUACGAGAGGACCGUGAUGGACAGACCUCCGGUUUACCAGUUGUGCCGCCAGGCGCACCGCUGGGUAUCUGAGUCUGGAUUGGAUAAGCGCUGAAAGCAUCUAAGUGCGAAGCCAGCCGCAAGAUGAGAACUCCAUUGAGGGUCGUCAGAGACGAUGACGUUGAUAGGAUGCAGGUGUAAAGACAGCGAUGUCAAAGCCGAGCAUUACUAAUUGCUC